UUUUAGCUAAAUGACGACUAUCACUCACCACUGCAAACAGGAUUGGAUACACAUAUUUAAAAAGAUACAUGAUUUAAGUAUACAGGGAAUAACAGCAGACGAAAUAACCACUUAUACAUAUGUAAGACUUAAAGGUUGAACGUGAAGCGCAUCAUGGCCACAGAAAAUAUAUUCGUCUCUUUCACAUCAGUCAGUAUGGCAUUCCAAAUGAGAACAUCGUGAAGUUCAAUCAGCCUUCGAACAUAGGCAUUUCUGGCGUCUGGUAAAUUAAAGCAGUUUGUCAGCUGCUCUUGUACAGUGUGCAAG
Rhipicephalus sanguineus (brown dog tick) is the source of this 306-nucleotide long non-coding RNA. RefSeq lists it as uncharacterized. The record is from RefSeq and is a predicted model, not a curated record. NCBI's taxonomy places the organism in Eukaryota, Metazoa, Arthropoda, Arachnida, Ixodida, Ixodidae. The transcript has 2 exons.